UGCUCUGUAGCUUAGUUGGUUAAAGCGCCGGUCUAGCGUACACGGAGUCGUGUGUUCGAGUCUCACUAGAACGC
Molecule: non-coding RNA, 74 nt
Organism: Aedes aegypti (yellow fever mosquito)
Lineage: Eukaryota; Metazoa; Arthropoda; Insecta; Diptera; Culicidae
Source: Rfam